GAUGAACGCUAGCGGCAGGCCUAAUACAUGCAAGUCGAGGGGUAGAAGAGGCUUGCUUCUUUGAGACCGGCGCACGGGUGCGUAACGCGUAUGCAACCUACCUUCAUCUGGGGGAUAGCCCGGAGAAAUCCGGAUUAAUACCGCAUAAAAUCACAGGAUGGCAUUAUCCAAUGAUCAAACAUUUAUGGGAUGGAGAUGGGCAUGCGUGUCAUUAGCUAGUUGGCGGGGUAACGGCCCACCAAGGCGACGAUAACUAGGAGAUCUGAGAGGAUGGCCCCCCAAACUGGUCCUGAGACACGGACCAGACUCCUACGGGAGGCAGCAGUAAGGAAUAUUGGUCAAUGGAGGCAACUCUGAACCAGCCAUGCCGCGUGCAGGAAGACUGCCCUAUGGGUUGUAAACUGCUUUUAUUCGGGAAUAAACCUUAUUACGUGUAAUAAGCUGAAUGUACCGAAGGAAUAAGGAUCGGCUAACUCCGUGCCAGCCGCCGCAGUAA
Molecule: ribosomal RNA, 496 nt
Filed under: uncultured bacterium
Lineage: Bacteria
Description: partial 16S ribosomal RNA
Rfam family: Bacterial small subunit ribosomal RNA
Source: RNAcentral